RNAcentral lists this ribosomal RNA (720 nucleotides) under Chondracanthus acicularis. RNAcentral describes it as "eukaryotic LSU rRNA". It matches the Rfam family "Eukaryotic large subunit ribosomal RNA", at positions 373 to 1181 of the family's 3401-position model. The record is from RNAcentral. Lineage: Eukaryota; Rhodophyta; Florideophyceae; Gigartinales; Gigartinaceae.
ACUUUGAAAAGAGGGUGAAAAGAGCCUGAAACCGUCACGGGGGAAGCGGAUUGCGUUGGAUUGAUGGGCGCUUGUGUGUUCAGCCUUCGGGUGCAUUGGCACAAGUGCUUAUCCGCUGUGAGUUUUCGGGGGUCGAUUUUGGACCCCUGGGGACUGAGGGCUCCCUUCUUUUAGGUGAGGACAGCGGAGUGACGACGCGAUACGACCCGUCUUGAAACACGGACCAAGGAGUCUAGCGCGGGUGCGAGUCGGAGGGUGCAAGCCCGUGGGCGAAGUGAAAGCGAGUUUUAAAAACGAGCAGUUUGGGGCGGCAUAAGAUCGUUGAUCUUAAGACCGACCCGGAGCAGUUGCGCUGGGACCCGAAAGAUGGUGAACUAUGCCGGAGUAGGGCAAAGCCAGAGGAAACUCUGGUGGAGGCUCGUAGCGGUGCUGACGUGCAAAUCGCUCGUCGAACUUGGGUAUAGGGGCGAAAGACUAAUCGAACCAUCUAGUAGCUGGUUCCCUCCGAAGUUUCUCUCAGGAUAGCGGGCCGACAAGUUGUUUUGUGCGGUAAAGCGAAUGAUUAGCGCAUUCGGGGGCGUUUAGCCUUUGGGCGAUUCUCAAACUUUCAAUGCGCAAGGGUGCCGCUGCUUAAUUGAGCGGUACCGGUAAAAACGUCGGCCCUGUGGGCCACUUUUGGUAAGCAGAACUGGCGAUACGGGAUGAACCGUAAGCAAGGUU